This is a long non-coding RNA of Myotis davidii, 147 nucleotides long. RefSeq lists it as uncharacterized. The record is from RefSeq and is a predicted model, not a curated record. The transcript is spliced from 2 exons. NCBI's taxonomy places the organism in Eukaryota, Metazoa, Chordata, Mammalia, Chiroptera, Vespertilionidae.
GAGGAUGGGCUGCGCAAGCUGCAGGACGCUGGGGCCCAACUCGCCAUCAUGACCCUCAAAGAGCUCCAGUACUGCUUGGACACCUUCGUGGACAACCACGGCCGGCUGUUCGAGCCCUGGCUUAAUCUAGUAGAACACAUACAAACC